This 516-nucleotide ribosomal RNA is filed under the name Hypermnestra helios (desert apollo). Its description in RNAcentral is "partial 16S rRNA". The stretch from base 389 to 516 matches the Rfam family "Bacterial large subunit ribosomal RNA", at positions 2473 to 2600 of the family's 2925-position model. The record is from RNAcentral. Lineage: Eukaryota; Metazoa; Arthropoda; Insecta; Lepidoptera; Papilionidae.
GUCUUUUUGAUUAAUAAUUUAAAGUCUAAUCUGCCCACUGAUGGAUAUAUUAAAGGGCUGCAGUAUUUUGACUGUACAAAGGUAGCAUAAUCAUUAGUCUCUUAAUUGGUGACUUGUAUGAAAGAUUUCAUGAAAUAUAUACUGUCUUUUAUUAAUUUAUAUAAUUUAAUUUUUUAGUUAAAAAGCUAAGAUAUAUUUAAAAGACGAGAAGACCCUAUAGAGUUUUAUAUUUAAAUAAGUUAAAAUUUUAUAUAAAAUUUAUAAUUUUAAUUUAUUUAAAUAUUUUAUUGGGGUGAUAGAAAAAUUAAAAUAACUUUUUAUAUAAAUUUUCAUUUAUAGAUGAGUAAAUGAUCCGUAAUUUACGAUUAAAAGAAAAAAUUACCUUAGGGAUAACAGCGUAAUUUUUUUUUUUAGUUCAAAUAAUAAAAAAAGUUUGCGACCUCGAUGUUGGAUUAAGAUAAAAUUUAAAUGCAAAAGUUUAAAAUUUUUGAUCUGUUCGAUCAUUAAAAUCUUACA